Molecule: long non-coding RNA, 2705 nt
Organism: Pseudophryne corroboree (corroboree frog)
Lineage: Eukaryota; Metazoa; Chordata; Amphibia; Anura; Myobatrachidae
Exons: 4
Source: RefSeq, a predicted model, not a curated record
GGAGAGAAUAAGGGAUAAUCGGGGAGCCUGCAUGUACAAUAUGACAUAAUAGCCCGGGGAUGGGCUGCCUGGGGGAGACCUCUUAUAAUUAGGCAAUGUGUAAGAGACAGGUGCCACAGCCACACAGUGACCGGGGGAGAGAGACUGCAUAUUAUACAGAGAGAGGGGGUGAGACUGAGGAAACACUGCGUCUAAUUCCAACAGGGAAAUGGACCAAAUUCUGCUAUUCACAGGAAGACAGCGAGAGGUGAGAGUAUAUCCAAUAGGCAGCACAGGGAGGGAGGAUACACCUCAUAGCGGGAGAGAGAGAGAGAGAGGGAGGGCUGCAGCAUGUAGCACUGAGUGGGAGACACGGAGGAGAGAGAGUCACUGGCACCCGGCACAGAAGACUGCAAUAUCAGGGCCGCGGUGCACAGCAGCAGGUGCAUGUAUGUAAUGGUGAAGGGGACAUACUGCAAACUAUGUCACUGAGAUAGCAAGCCAGACAGCAUGUAUACCAUAGGGGAGACUGCAUGUAUCGGGAGAGAGGAGACUGCAUGUACAGUAUGACAGAAGGAGUGACAGGAGACAGCAUUUAUUAUAUAGAGGAGAGGAGACUGCAUGUAUACCAUGGAGAGAGGAGACAGCAUGCAUGGCAUACAGUAUGUGGGGUGAGACAGGAGACAGCAUGUACAGAAUGACAGGGAAAGUGAAAGGAGACAGCAUGUGUAACAUGGAGAGAGGAGAUGUGGCAUCCCAAACUCCCCUGGCAGGUGUCAGCCAAGCAUCAGAUUGCAAGGGUUAACAAAAUCCCCUCUGUGACAUCACUAGCCCCUGUCUGCCCCGUGAUUGGAUGACCCUUGAUCCGGUGGGCGGGGGGUCUGAUGAGGACAAAAGAAACAACAUGUGUGUGCGUGUGGGAAGUGGAGAGCCGGGCUGGGACGGAGAAAGAAGUUCCCUGCUUCAGGGAGAGGAAUGGGCCCGCAGGGCUGAGGACUGACGGCUACGUGAAGUAGCGCAAGCAUAGGGGAAGCGGCCGCAGACAGGUGAGCGGUGUCAGAGCAGUAAGCCGGUGCGGGCACACAGAAGUGGCCGCAGACAGCGGGGACGUGAGCGGCGCAGACAGAGGAUUCUAGGAGCCAGGCGCAGUGUGUUGCAGCAGAGCGCCGUUGAGGGCGGACCCUGGCACACCGAAGAGAAGCCACCGUGAAGGACCCAACUGGAGGUGCUGCCGACUAGGUGCUGGGGUAAGCCACCAAGUCAGGUGAUUGAGACCACUGCUGCCUGCUUCCAGCUAAUGCUGUGCGCUCCCCACCAACUGCUAAAGCCAGACUGUUACACUAGUGCUGCCUUAUGCCUCGUCUCCCUCCUCACAUUGCACUGCCCGGGAGUUACGGAUUUUCUCACUCUCACAAACUUUGUGUCUUCUGCUUAUUGCUUCAUCCACCCCCUCCUCCACAUUGCAUUACACUGCUUACUGCUAAUCCAACGCCUCCUGGAACUCUGCUUAUUGCCUUACUCUCUCCCCCCCCCCCCCAAAGGGCAUUGUGCGAUUGAACCCCCAUUCUGCGGACAGAAUUGUUUCUUGCCCACAGAAAACUUUAUAGCCCUGGAGGCUGUUCAGUGCUGACCCUUGCAGAGAUUAAUGAUGCACUGCCUCCUUGUGGACAGUUUAUAAAAAAGUAUGUGGACUGAUGUUAAAGGACAAUUGAACAAACCCUCGUUUUAAUUACUAAGGGAAAUGUAUCAGUUGUGUUUAUAUUGAAUGUGCAAAUGUACUGUACUAACUGAGAUUAUAUUGAACUAUGCAAGUAUCCUAACUACUAGCAUUGUGAUUCCCUUCUCACUUUAAAUAAAACAAUAGUUCCUGCUUUAACGAGUAGGGACUGUCUGUGGGGGGGGGUCCCCAGGGAUUGUCUUCAUCCCUCUGCAAAAACACCCAGGAGACGCAGCCCGGUGGUAUUCAGGAGGCUGAAGCUGACAACCGUGGGAAGAAAAAGGCUGCCAGAGGAGCCGACUCUGGAACAGGCAACAUACAGCUGGCCAUGGGAGAAGCCGUCAUUCCUCAGAUCCACACCAGCCACUUUGACACUCUGCCCCUGAGCUUUGUUAGUGGUCAUGGUCUAGCAGAACUUCACCAGGAACUGCAACCGUUUGAACUGGAAAUAGUAGUCUGCUGGGAACAGAGGAAUUCUCGGAAUGAAGACAGUUUCAGAACAGUAAAUAUACUUGCUGAGUUUGUCAUCACUGCCAUCGUAAUCAUCAUCAUCAUCAUCAUCAUCAGGACAUAUCUUUACACCAGCAUUUGGAGACACACAAUACGCCUCCUAAGAGGAGUAUCAGGAGAUGCCGGCAAGUAAUCUGUUCAGCAUUUCUUGCCUGUCCAGGCAUGAUGAGCCUCAAACCUACACACUGAACAAGUGGCUGGAGAUCAUUAUCCUCAUACUGUGGUUCAGUAAAGCUACCCAUUUGUUGUAUUCAGUGGAGGAACUUUAAUAAAUAAUCUUACAGUAUAUCUGUUUUCUCCUUUUUCUGAGUACCACGGCUGUAACUGAAAUCAAUUGUAUCCUGGCUGACUGGGAAAGCUGAUACACAGCAGGCAGUACUAAAGGAGGGUCAGAAGAGUAAAACCGGACACUGGAGAUAGUUGAAUUUUAUUACUAUGUUUUCACUAAGGGCUCAUAAUCUAGUUUUAUGACUGCCAAGUAAUAAAUGAAUCAAUUACA